This 440-nucleotide ribosomal RNA is filed under the name uncultured bacterium. Its description in RNAcentral is "bacterial SSU rRNA". It matches the Rfam family "Bacterial small subunit ribosomal RNA", at positions 338 to 793 of the family's 1533-position model. The record is from RNAcentral.
CCUACGGGAGGCUGCAGUCAAGAAUAUUCGGCAAUGGGCGAAAGCCUGACCGAGCGACGCCGCGUGCGGGAUGAAGGCCUUCGGGUCGUAAACCGCUUUUAGAUGGGACGAACAAAUGACGGUACCAUCGGAAUAAGAGGUUGCUAACUCUGUGCCAGCAGCAGCGGUAAUACAGAGACCUCGAGCGUUAUCCGGAUUUAUUGGGCGUAAAGGGUCCGCAGGUGGCCAUGUGCGUCAUAUGUCAAAUCUCUGGGCUCAACCCAGAUUCGGCGUGUGAUACGGCGUGGCUAGAGGCUGGGAGAGGUGCACGGAAUUACUGGUGUAGCGGUAAAAUGCGUUAAUAUCAGUAAGAACACCAAAGGCGAAGGCAGUGCACUGGAACAGUCCUGACACUCAGGGACGAAAGCGUGGGGAGCGAAAGGGAUUAGAUACCCUUGUAG